AUCCAAACGAUGGCGGAAAGCGCAAGCAGCCCAUAUGUUGCACCGAAUUCCCCAGACCCAGACAAACGGGUCGGUAAGAUCCGACCCGACUCUGAUCAGGAUCCGACCGCCGAUGCUUCGUGCAGAGGAAAUUGGAUGGGACCUCACCGGAGAGAGGACUGGUCGCUGAUGAAGACGGAGGAGGAGAAACAAGGGUGUCUGUAUUGUUUUCUCUCCAAACCCUAGAUUUCUCCCGAUUUUCGCGCCAUGGCAUCGGAUUCGACCUCCUUUCCUUCUUCCUCCGCCGUCGAAUUGGCCGAUCCGAUCCAUAGUCCCGAUCCGAGCGCGAAUUUUGGAGCGUGUCGGUGAUCGAUUGGACUCGAUGGGACUGGCGGAGCCAAACGAAGUCUCCCAUCGCAGCCACACCGAUGACGGGGUUCGCUCGCCGGAUGAAGAGGACGGGACGAUACGGUGAUUUCGUCGGUGAACGGCGAAGGAGACGGAGCGGAGGGAGGGGUGUGAUUGACGGCGGGGCAUCCGGUGGAAAUGGGUUGGGGAGGAGCUAUCGAGCCCCACAAGCGGCGGCUACGCUGGGGAAAGAGGGAGCAGCGGCGGGACUACAUCCACUUCGAGAGCCGAAGACGACGAUGCGAGCGACGGUGAGAUUCGAGAAGUCAAGGUGGAGGACGACGGGGCCUAGCAUGUGGCGCCGUGGAAAUGCCAUGUCGACGAGGAUGAUGCUAGCGUGUCAUGGAGAAAGAGGAAGAAGCAUUUCUUCAUAUGUAUUCCAGAUAUGGCGAUGAACAUAAGCUUGCUGGAUUCUCAGCUUACUCUCCAGGCUAUUAUCUCCUUUGUGGAGAAUGGGUAAACUUCACUUGCUCAUUGGUGAUCUUUUGUCCUAAUGGUGAUAUUCCUUGUAAAGGGGCCAAUCUACCUUGUCUGCAUCAGCUGUACAGAAUGAAACACAGGAAUCUUUGUGCUCGGGGGGUGGAGGGGGGUGUUAACAUUGAGCCUGUUUCACAUCCUUUCUUUUCUUUAGCUGUUUUAAGUGAGCGAUUUAACUGACCAAGAUGUAAUGAUAUGUUGCAGACGAUACUUAAAUUUUAACAAAGUCAAUAAAUAGGUGUUUUGAGAAGAAUCCGAAGUUCGGCAUGACACCUUUGCUUGGAGGAACAGAUGUUGUCUUCUCUUUCUCUGAUCCAUUCAUUGAGCUGGACUUCAGAAUCUUUCUCACCAAUCUGUCUGCCAAGAUAUAAUCCUCCUCUGGCUCUUUUGCAUGCCCACGUCCACUUCUUUGACGAUGAUAUACCUAUUGUCACGCUGCUUAGUUGACCUAGAAAUCCCUAGAUCCUUGGUCAUUCAAAACAUUACAUAUGCAACAAAUGCUCUGGGAAGAUUUUGAACCCUUGAUUCAAGAUCAGAUUUCGAUGAAUUCUUGAGACUUUGGUGGCAGACAUUGGCGGCAAAGAUAUGCAACAUGGUGUGUCACUGACUGGGGGUAUAAGAUGCGGAGAGAAUCGAGGUUUUCUUGCGGGGAGCAAGCCCCUUCUACCUGGUGAACGGUGAAUAUUCCCCCAUCUCUCUCUCUCUCACAAUCACACAACUUAGUAUUCUACCCUCUUUAAAGAAAAGAAAUAAAUAAUAAAAUAUUACCCUUUAUUUAAAAUUCAUAGUCAUAUUGAUGAAGUCUUCAAAGUCAGAUGGUGAGUUCUCUUACAAGUUUUGACCGUUCAUUAGGGCUCCAGAGUUGGGUUUGGUGCUGUUUUGAGGAUCGUAUGUGUUUUUGAGAUUAUACGCUUAACUAUGGAAGAAUCACUUGGGCUUUUGACCUAUUAUGCAUGCAGCUGUGUACGGUCUUUUUGGAUUAAAAGAAAAGGGGUUUAGUGCCAGUUUUCGGCUUUUAAUGUCAAUCGCUCCCCCCCUUUUUGAUGAUCAUCUCUAAAAUCCCAAACUCAUGUCUCUUUAUUUUGCCAUGGAUGAAUAAUCAUAUUUCUCAUUA
Tarenaya hassleriana is the source of this 1978-nucleotide long non-coding RNA. RefSeq lists it as uncharacterized. The transcript has 6 exons. NCBI's taxonomy places the organism in Eukaryota, Viridiplantae, Streptophyta, Magnoliopsida, Brassicales, Cleomaceae. The record is from RefSeq and is a predicted model, not a curated record.